UACGAAGGGUGCAAGCGUUGUUCGGAUUUAUUGGGCGUAAAGCGCGCGCAGGCCGAUACGCAAGUCAGGUGUGAAAUCUCAGGGCUCAACCCUGAAAGUGCGCCUGAAACUACGUAUCUAGAAUCUCGGAGAGGGAAGGGGAAUUUCUCAUGUAGGGGUAAAAUCCGUAGAUAUGAGAAGGAACACCAGAGGCGAAGGCGCCUUCCUGGACGAGUAUUGACGCUGAGGCGCGAAAGCGUGGGGAGCAAACAGG
RNAcentral lists this ribosomal RNA (253 nucleotides) under uncultured Bacteriovorax sp. Its description in RNAcentral is "partial 16S ribosomal RNA". It matches the Rfam family "Bacterial small subunit ribosomal RNA", at positions 524 to 776 of the family's 1533-position model. Lineage: Bacteria; Pseudomonadati; Bdellovibrionota; Bacteriovoracia; Bacteriovoracales; Bacteriovoracaceae. The record is from RNAcentral.